ACUAAGCGUACACGGUGGAUGCCCUGGCAGUCAGAGGCGAUGAAGGACGUGCUAAUCUGCGAUAAGCGUCGGUGAGGUGAUAUGAACCGUUAUAACCGGCGAUUUCCGAAUGGGGAAACCCAGUGUGUUUCGACACACUAUCAUUAACUGAAUCCAUAGGUUAAUGAGGCGAACCGGGGGAACUGAAACAUCUAAGUACCCCGAGGAAAAGAAAUCAACCGAGAUUCCCCCAGUAGCGGCGAGCGAACGGGGAGGAGCCCAGAGCCUGAAUCAGUGUGUGUGUUAGUGGAAGCGUCUGGAAAGGCGUGCGAUACAGGGUGACAGCCCCGUACACAAAAAUGCACAUAUUGUGAGCUCGAUGAGUAGGGCGGGACACGUGGUAUCCUGUCUGAAUAUGGGGGGACCAUCCUCCAAGGCUAAAUACUCCUGACUGACCGAUAGUGAACCAGUACCGUGAGGGAAAGGCGAAAAGAACCCCGGCGAGGGGAGUGAAAAAGAACCUGAAACCGUGUACGUACAAGCAGUGGGAGCCUCUUUAUGGGGUGACUGCGUACCUUUUGUAUAAUGGGUCAGCGACUUAUAUUCUGUAGCAAGGUUAACCGAAUAGGGGAGCCGAAGGGAAACCGAGUCUUAACUGGGCGUUAAGUUGCAGGGUAUAGACCCGAAACCCGGUGAUCUAGCCAUGGGCAGGUUGAAGGUUGGGUAACACUAACUGGAGGACCGAACCGACUAAUGUUGAAAAAUUAGCGGAUGACUUGUGGCUGGGGGUGAAAGGCCAAUCAAACCGGGAGAUAGCUGGUUCUCCCCGAAAGCUAUUUAGGUAGCGCCUCGUGAAUUCAUCUCCGGGGGUAGAGCACUGUUUCGGCAAGGGGGUCAUCCCGACUUACCAACCCGAUGCAAACUGCGAAUACCGGAGAAUGUUAUCACGGGAGACACACGGCGGGUGCUAACGUCCGUCGUGAAGAGGGAAACAACCCAGACCGCCAGCUAAGGUCCCAAAGUCAUGGUUAAGUGGGAAACGAUGUGGGAAGGCCCAGACAGCCAGGAUGUUGGCUUAGAAGCAGCCAUCAUUUAAAGAAAGCGUAAUAGCUCACUGGUCGAGUCGGCCUGCGCGGAAGAUGUAACGGGGCUAAACCAUGCACCGAAGCUGCGGCAGCGACACUAUGUGUUGUUGGGUAGGGGAGCGUUCUGUAAGCCUGUGAAGGUGGCCUGUGAGGGUUGCUGGAGGUAUCAGAAGUGCGAAUGCUGACAUAAGUAACGAUAAAGCGGGUGAAAAGCCCGCUCGCCGGAAGACCAAGGGUUCCUGUCCAACGUUAAUCGGGGCAGGGUGAGUCGACCCCUAAGGCGAGGCCGAAAGGCGUAGUCGAUGGGAAACAGGUUAAUAUUCCUGUACUUGGUGUUACUGCGAAGGGGGGACGGAGAAGGCUAUGUUAGCCGGGCGACGGUUGUCCCGGUUUAAGCAUGUAGGCGGAGGUUCCAGGUAAAUCCGGUACCUUGUUAACGCUGAGGUGUGAUGACGAGGCACUACGGUGCUGAAGUAACAAAUGCCCUGCUUCCAGGAAAAGCCUCUAAGCAUCAGGUAACAUCAAAUCGUACCCCAAACCGACACAGGUGGUCAGGUAGAGAAUACCAAGGCGCUUGAGAGAACUCGGGUGAAGGAACUAGGCAAAAUGGUGCCGUAACUUCGGGAGAAGGCACGCUGAUAUGUAGGUGAAGCGACUUGCUCGUGGAGCUGAAAUCAGUCGAAGAUACCAGCUGGCUGCAACUGUUUAUUAAAAACACAGCACUGUGCAAACACGAAAGUGGACGUAUACGGUGUGACGCCUGCCCGGUGCCGGAAGGUUAAUUGAUGGGGUUAGCGGUAACGCGAAGCUCUUGAUCGAAGCCCCGGUAAACGGCGGCCGUAACUAUAACGGUCCUAAGGUAGCGAAAUUCCUUGUCGGGUAAGUUCCGACCUGCACGAAUGGCGUAAUGAUGGCCAGGCUGUCUCCACCCGAGACUCAGUGAAAUUGAACUCGCUGUGAAGAUGCAGUGUACCCGCGGCAAGACGGAAAGACCCCGUGAACCUUUACUAUAGCUUGACACUGAACAUUGAGCCUUGAUGUGUAGGAUAGGUGGGAGGCUUUGAAGUGUGGACGCCAGUCUGCAUGGAGCCGACCUUGAAAUACCACCCUUUAAUGUUUGAUGUUCUAACGUUGGCCCGUAAUCCGGGUUGCGGACAGUGUCUGGUGGGUAGUUUGACUGGGGCGGUCUCCUCCCAAAGAGUAACGGAGGAGCACGAAGGUUAGCUAAUCCUGGUCGGACAUCAGGAGGUUAGUGCAAUGGCAUAAGCUAGCUUGACUGCGAGCGUGACGGCGCGAGCAGGUGCGAAAGCAGGUCAUAGUGAUCCGGUGGUUCUGAAUGGAAGGGCCAUCGCUCAACGGAUAAAAGGUACUCCGGGGAUAACAGGCUGAUACCGCCCAAGAGUUCAUAUCGACGGCGGUGUUUGGCACCUCGAUGUCGGCUCAUCACAUCCUGGGGCUGAAGUAGGUCCCAAGGGUAUGGCUGUUCGCCAUUUAAAGUGGUACGCGAGCUGGGUUUAGAACGUCGUGAGACAGUUCGGUCCCUAUCUGCCGUGGGUGUAGGAUACUUGAGAGGAUUUGUCCUUAGUACGAGAGGACCGGGAUGAACAUACCUCUGGUGUACCAGUUGUAACGCCAGUUGCAGCGCUGGGUAGCUAAGUAUGGAAGGGAUAACCGCUGAAUGCAUCUAAGCGGGAAACCCACCUCAAAACUAGGUAUCCCCAUUAAGAUCGUGGUAGACCACCACGUUGAUAGGUCAGGUGUGUAAGCACAGCAAUGUGUUUAGCUAACUGAUACUAAUAAUCUGAUUGGCUUGAUA
RNAcentral lists this ribosomal RNA (2880 nucleotides) under human gut metagenome. RNAcentral describes it as "bacterial LSU rRNA". It matches the Rfam family "Bacterial large subunit ribosomal RNA". The record is from RNAcentral.